RNAcentral lists this ribosomal RNA (265 nucleotides) under uncultured bacterium. RNAcentral describes it as "partial 16S ribosomal RNA". It matches the Rfam family "Bacterial small subunit ribosomal RNA", at positions 793 to 1055 of the family's 1533-position model. The record is from RNAcentral.
GUCCACGCCCUAAACGAUGUCAACUAGGUGUUGGGAGGGUAAAACCUUUUAGUACCGUAGCUAACGCGAGAAGUUGACCGCCUGGGGAGUACGGCCGCAAGGUUAAAACUCAAAGGAAUUGACGGGGACCCGAACAAGCGGUGGAUGAUGUGGAUUAAUUAGAUGCAACGCGAAAACCUUACCUACCCUUGACAUGUUCAGGAGUCCGAAGAGAUUUGGAUGUGCUCGAAAGAGAACUGGAACACAGGUGCUGCAUGGCUGUCGU